GGGAGCAAUGGAGUGGAAUUCAUAGAGUCAAUGCAACAGAGACAGCAAGGUUGCUCAAUGGAUGGAGAACUAGGCCUGGAGACAGAAGCUACUACAAUUCUGCUUUGCUCAUAGAGCAUGUUGCCUUCUUUGAUGCAGUCAUAGUCCUAUGCUCCUGAGGAAACUUAAAUGCCAAUGCUAGUAAAUGGAAACCAUCAGGGUUUAUCAGAUCCAUCUGUGGCUUCUCCCAGAGUAUGGGAAGAAUGAGCUCAUUCCCUGCCAAAGAAGAAUGUGGGAAGGACAAGCGGAAUAUUCCCCAGAAAUGGAAGGGCACCAUGAACAAGAUGCUGCCUACUUUC
RNAcentral lists this long non-coding RNA (338 nucleotides) under Monodelphis domestica (gray short-tailed opossum). RNAcentral describes it as "lncRNA (ENSMODG00000037396.1)". The record is from RNAcentral. Lineage: Eukaryota; Metazoa; Chordata; Mammalia; Didelphimorphia; Didelphidae.